This is a non-coding RNA of Homo sapiens (human), 360 nucleotides long. NCBI's taxonomy places the organism in Eukaryota, Metazoa, Chordata, Mammalia, Primates, Hominidae. The record is from the annotation of a RefSeq genome assembly.
AUGUCACUGCUGGAAGCAUUUGCCUUCUCCUCCUGGGCUCUUGGACUUGGAUUAUCAAAAGUGGAGCAGUUCCAGCUAUCCAUUUCCACGGAAGUCAAGAAAAGUAUUGACAUACCUUGCAAGAUAUCGAGCACAAGGUUUGAAACAGAUGUCAUUCACUGGUACCGGCAGAAACCAAAUCAGGCUUUGGAGCACCUGAUCUAUAUUGUCUCAACAAAAUCCGCAGCUCGACGCAGCAUGGGUAAGACAAGCAACAAAGUGGAGGCAAGAAAGAAUUCUCAAACUCUCACUUCAAUCCUUACCAUCAAGUCCGUAGAGAAAGAAGACAUGGCCGUUUACUACUGUGCUGCGUGGGAUUAC